GACGAACGCUGGCGGCGUGCUUAACACAUGCAAGUCGUACGGUAAGGCCCUUUCGGGGGUACACGAGUGGCGAACGGGUGAGUAACACGUGAGUAACCUGCCCACAACUUUGGGAUAACGCUAGGAAACUGGUGCUAAUUCUGGAUAUGUGCUCCUGCUGCAUGGUGGGGGUUGGAAAGCUCCGGCGGUUGUGGAUGGACUCGCGGUCUAUCAGCUUGUUGGUGGGGUAGUGGCCUACCAAGGCGGCGACGGGUAGCCGGCCUGGGAGGGUGACCGGCCACAUUGGGACUGAGAUACGGCCCAGACUCCUACGGGAGGCAGCAGUGGGGAAUAUUGCACAAUGGGCGCAAGCCUGAUGCAGCAACGCCGCGUGCGGGAUGACGGCCUUCGGGUUGUAAACCGCUUUCAGCAGGGACGAAGCUUUUUGUGACGGUACCUGCAGAAGAAGCACCGGCUAACUACGUG
Molecule: ribosomal RNA, 465 nt
Filed under: uncultured bacterium
Lineage: Bacteria
Description: partial 16S ribosomal RNA
Rfam family: Bacterial small subunit ribosomal RNA
Source: RNAcentral